This 253-nucleotide ribosomal RNA is filed under the name uncultured bacterium. Its description in RNAcentral is "partial 16S ribosomal RNA". It matches the Rfam family "Bacterial small subunit ribosomal RNA", at positions 524 to 776 of the family's 1533-position model. The record is from RNAcentral.
UACGUAGGGUGCAAGCGUUGUCCGGAAUUAUUGGGCGUAAAGAGCUCGUAGGCGGUUUGUCGCGUCUGCUGUGAAAACUCAGGGCUUAACCCUGAGCCUGCAGUGGGUACGGGCAGACUAGAGUGUGGUAGGGGAGAUCGGAAUUCCUGGUGUAGCGGUGGAAUGCGCAGAUAUCAGGAGGAACACCGGUGGCGAAGGCGGCUUCCUGGCCUGUAACUGACGCUGAGGAGCGAAAGCGUGGGGAGCGAACAGG